RNAcentral lists this ribosomal RNA (492 nucleotides) under uncultured bacterium. RNAcentral describes it as "partial 16S ribosomal RNA". It matches the Rfam family "Bacterial small subunit ribosomal RNA", at positions 29 to 507 of the family's 1533-position model. The record is from RNAcentral.
AGUGAACGCUGGCGGUAGGCCUAACACAUGCAAGUCGAACGGCAGCACGGUAAUAGCUUGCUCUUACGGGUGGCGAGUGGCGGACGGGUGAUGAAUACAUCGGAAGCUACUUUUUCGUGGGGGAUAACGUAGGGAAACUUACGCUAAUACCGCAUACGACCUACGGGUGAAAGCAGGGGAUCUUCGGACCUUGCGCGAUUGAAUGAGCCGAUGUCGGAUUAGCUAGUUGGCGGGGUAAAGGCCCACCAAGGCGACGAUCCGUAGCUGGUCUGAGAGGAUGAUCAGCCACACUGGAACUGAGACACGGUCCAGACUCCUACGGGAGGCAGCAGUGGGGAAUAUUGGACAAUGGGCGAAAGCCUGAUCCAGCCAUACCGCGUGGGUGAAGAAGGCCUUCGGGUUGUAAAGCCCUUUUGUUGGGAAAGAAAAGCAGCAGGUUAAUACCCCGCUGUUCUGACGGUACCCAAAGAAUAAGCACCGGCUAACUUCGUG